CAAUAGACUGCGUUAAGGAUUGAAGUGGCAUCCUUUUUUUUGCUGCCAUAAAUGGCAAAAAAAAGAUAUAACGGAAAGCCUGACCUUUA
RNAcentral lists this small RNA (89 nucleotides) under Olleya namhaensis. Its description in RNAcentral is "Flavo-1 RNA". It matches the Rfam family "Flavo-1 RNA". Lineage: Bacteria; Pseudomonadati; Bacteroidota; Flavobacteriia; Flavobacteriales; Flavobacteriaceae. The record is from Rfam by way of RNAcentral.